UAUUGCUGAUCCAGGAGGAGGUGUCUUCAUAUCAGAUCCAAAGAAGCCAGCACCGUUAUCUCAUAUAAAUAAUGAUGUGACUUAGUUACAAAUGUUUUCAAGGGACCCAACAAACAAAUACUUUGUCAACUGUCAAUGCUUGAAAGAAAAAUGGCUCAAGGUACCUUGGAAGCAAUAACUUGAGCGGGGAGCUAUCCGCAAACAUCAUAACUAACACGCUUUUCUUAGAUAUCUCGUUCAAUCAAAUCUCUGGAACUAUACCUGCCAAUAAGUCAUAUAUUUCACUAAAUGCUGUUGGCACUUUGAUCACUAGCGAAAAAAGGUCACGUUCGCGCAGUGCUUGCUUGACGAAAAAUUCGGUGUGCACUAAGAAAGCUUCAUCAACUUCACUUUCGAUCAAAUGUGGUGGAAAUCAAAUAGUAACUGUGGAUGGGUUUCAGUUUGAUGAUGAUUCGAAGAUGCUAGGCCCAGCGUCGUUCUACAUGAGCUCGAACAAGCAGUGGGCAGUGAGCAGUUCUGGAAUAUUCAUUAACAACCAGAAUGGACAGAACUAUACAUCUCAUUC
Long non-coding RNA from Ipomoea nil (Japanese morning glory), 565 nucleotides. RefSeq lists it as uncharacterized. The record is from RefSeq and is a predicted model, not a curated record. NCBI's taxonomy places the organism in Eukaryota, Viridiplantae, Streptophyta, Magnoliopsida, Solanales, Convolvulaceae. The transcript is spliced from 8 exons.